This is a long non-coding RNA of Erinaceus europaeus (western European hedgehog), 880 nucleotides long. RefSeq lists it as uncharacterized. The transcript has 4 exons. The record is from RefSeq and is a predicted model, not a curated record. NCBI's taxonomy places the organism in Eukaryota, Metazoa, Chordata, Mammalia, Eulipotyphla, Erinaceidae.
CCCUCACCUAGCCGGAAAGGUGGGGCGGGUGAGGGGGGGCCCACAUGGGGCCGGGGCCGGGCGAGCGGCGUGGGGGCCUCCUGGCCGGGGGCAGAGGGCCUCCGCCGGGCGAAAAGCGGCGGAGCUGGGCGGCCACAGGUGCCCGCGGCCGGGAGCACGGAGCAGGCUGCCCGCGAAGGCCCGACAGAGCAGAGGGGCCUGAAGCUGCACCUGCGCCUCCAGGGACAGUGAGUGCACAGAGCUGAGCCUACAGGAAUCUCCUGGAGAUUAUUAUCGGACAGAGACUAAGAAAUUGAGAAAGAAAGAGGGAGAGAGGAAGAGAGACACCUGAAGACCUGCUUCACCACUUGCAAAGCUUUCCCCCUACAGCGAACUCUGUUCGUGUCCCAGUGAGUAAAAGAUAGAUACAAGGUCGGUUCCAAGUGUUCCAACAGGUGAGCAUCCUGGCGUGAACCGGGCAGAUGGAGAAUGCAGCGAUUUCUGAGGGUGAGAAAGUGUGGCUGAGUGGACACUGACCUGACUCCUAGAGCAGCUCUUCUGUCUGGACUCUACAGCCUGCAGAUUCCGGAGCUGCCACCACUGAGUCUGUCUUACAGACCUGUUGUCCUAGGGACGUCUCCAAGUUCCCAAGCAGGCGUCAACAUUUACCUUGCAAUUCAAUCGAAACAGCAAGGACAAAGGUGCUUUAUCCUGCCGGCUUAGUAAUGGUCACUACGGAAACAAUUCAGGAUGAAACUGACUUCCGUGUGCGUCUCAUUCUCUUUGUUGGAAACACCAGGAAUGGGCAAAGGUGUGAUUUAUAAUCACUGCUUGUGAAAAUUCUGACAGCUCUCUAGCCCGUGGUAUGAAUUACAGUGUAAAGAAGGAGACCACGGAAUAA